RNAcentral lists this small RNA (28 nucleotides) under Bombyx mori (domestic silkworm). RNAcentral's name for it is "ovarian small RNA-5044". The record is from RNAcentral. Lineage: Eukaryota; Metazoa; Arthropoda; Insecta; Lepidoptera; Bombycidae.
GACAGAAUAGAGUAAAACAGCCGUGUCA